Molecule: long non-coding RNA, 965 nt
Filed under: Elaeis guineensis (African oil palm)
Lineage: Eukaryota; Viridiplantae; Streptophyta; Magnoliopsida; Arecales; Arecaceae
Description: long non-coding RNA (EGUI_LNC043652)
Source: RNAcentral
GAUCACCUAAUAAGAUCAAAAAAUCCAUGAAGAGAUGUGAUCUCGCAUCCUUUCAUGCGAAGUUUGAUCACCACACGCGCGUGCGAGGAAGAUUCCAGCAUCCGUUUGGCCAUUUGAUAAAUCUGAAAAAAUUUCAUAAAAAUCAUCAAAAAUAGCUUAUCAAAUAUGGAACAUUAUCACAAAAAAUCAUUCCAAUUUGAAAGUAUUUGAUCAGGAGAAGGACUCUCCAAAUCGUGGGGAGACGCAACGCUUCUGCGCGUGCAUGCCAGACAUCCUUCUUUUUUUAAUUUUUUCUUCACCCCAAAAAAUUCAAAAAAAAUACAUCUUAUGCUUUGAGAUGUACACCAGAGGAUGGAGGGUGAUAUGGGCUGCUACACACAUCUUAAUCCCACGCCAAAAGGACUCCUGCCCACGCCAACAUGCAUGCGCAAAAUUUGUUUUGCACCAAGAGUCCACAACUUGGACUCUUCAUAAUUGGCGUUAACAUGGGAUGUGGCACCCUAAUUUAGGCUGCUUUCAGGUGGCACGAUUUGACUCAAAUGCCCACCAAAUUGGGUUAGCAAAUUGGCAAGGGAUGAGAUCAAAUUGAUCUCCAGAGGAGCAAGGGUUUUCACACGUGCUAGCAUGCUUACAGGAAUCCUGAUUGAAUCCAAAAUUUCAAUCAAUCUUUUUCAAAAGGAUCCUUGGCCAAUUUUUAUAUGUGUGUGAUCCAUUGGGUUCCACAUCUAGCCAGCAGCAGGUCUGGAUGCAAGUUGAUCAAAUUUGAUUAGAUUCUAAUCUAAUCGAUUAAGAUCUAAUUGAGCUAACCCGAGCUCAACAAUUAAAAUUCUUUCUAAUCGGCGAUCGAAUUAAACUCUUUAAUUCGAUCAAAAACCUACAAAUCAAGAUUGACGUCUAGCAACAUAUCAUGACUACCCAGAAGUUGUGGAAUUUGGUGAAAAUACCAAAUAUACCCUUCAGUGACA